CGUGUGAUUGGUACUGCAUCAACAGCGAUUAUAAGUAUAUAACUAUAUAACUACAUAUACAUAUUCCUCUUUCAUACCGCUUGCGAUUUUAUACUAAACACAGCUUCAUUCAGUGUCGGUACAUCAAGCCAAUAGCGUGGUUGUACAUUUAAGUAUAUCAAGUUUUUCAAAGAACCGAGAUAUGACUAAACCGGAGGAAGCGUGCGGAUCCACUGGUCCCUCUAUGACUAAAGAGGGCAAUAAUACAAGCAAGAAGAAUUCUCAUUGCAACGGAUUGAACCCUCAAAAUAUGUUCCUGGCUACCAAAUACCACAACAACAUGCCUGACACGGUUGUCAUCCUACACUUCGAUGAUUUGCUGAUGAGAGAAUUAUUUAGUCGGAAAAAAACAAAGUAACCACGAAGUAAUAAUUCAGCUAAGAAUUAAUAAAUCUCGCCUACUUUCUAAUUAUUUUUUAUGCUCUUAAAAUUGGUAAGUAUUACUAUUUAAAUUGGUUUCGGCCGAAAAUCAAACGUUUAGAUCUCUUUUUGAAAAUACUCUUAAAUUUUUGUAACUAAUAAUUAAAAUGAAUGUGCUAUAAGUGUGUA
This 588-nucleotide long non-coding RNA is filed under the name Chelonus insularis. RNAcentral describes it as "uncharacterized LOC118071476". The record is from RNAcentral. Lineage: Eukaryota; Metazoa; Arthropoda; Insecta; Hymenoptera; Braconidae.